Molecule: ribosomal RNA, 445 nt
Filed under: uncultured bacterium
Lineage: Bacteria
Description: bacterial SSU rRNA
Rfam family: Bacterial small subunit ribosomal RNA
Source: RNAcentral
GUAAGGAAUAUUGGACAAUGGUGGCAACACUGAUCCAGCCAUGCCGCGUGAAGGAUGAAGGCGCUAUGCGUCGUAAACUUCUUUUGAACGGGAGAAACCCCACGCUCGUGAGCGUGGCUGAUAGUACCGUUAGAAUAAGGGUCGGCUAACUUCGUGCCAGCAGCCGCGGUAAUACGAAGGACCCGAGCGUUAUCCGGAUUCAUUGGGUUUAAAGGGUGCGUAGGCGGAGUGAUAAGUCAGUGGUGAAAUCCUGCAGCUUAACUGCAGAACUGCCAUUGAUACUGUCAUUCUUGAAUGUAACUGAUGUGGGCGGAAUGUGCCAUGUAGUGGUGAAAUACUUAGAUAUGGCACAGAACACCGAUUGCGAAGGCAGCUCACAAAAUUAUUAUUGACGCUGAUGCACGAAAGCGUGGGGAUCAAACAGGAUUAGAAACCCUGGUAGUCC